UUCAUUAGAGCAGAAGCCAGGAAACCAUGGAAUUUUAAAUUGGCAGCCUUUAGAGCAUUAUUGAAUAGAGCCUUUACACAUUGUAUUUUGAUAGAAGAUAGACAGCAAGAGAUAGACUCCAAAAAAUCAUCUUUAACAGAAAAAAUACACUGUUCAACCGUAUCAGGAAUGACAAGGAUAAGAUUAACAACACACAUUUCCCUGGAGUAUAUCAGGUACCUUUCUAAGAUAACGACACGAAUACUAGCGCAAACUAUAUUGAUUAUACAGGCACAUUUGAAUUAUAUUGAUUAUACAGCAUGUUCUCUAAAAAGGCAGAUCCAGGAAUAUAAAAAAGAUGUAGAGAAUAAAGCUACUACUACGGCUUUAGUGCAAUGUGCACUUACAUCUGACUUAGAGGUUGAUUGGACUAACCGUAAAUUGUUGCAUAGAGAACAAGACCCUAAGAGAGGGAGAAUCAUG
RNAcentral lists this long non-coding RNA (462 nucleotides) under Androctonus crassicauda. Lineage: Eukaryota; Metazoa; Arthropoda; Arachnida; Scorpiones; Buthidae. The record is from RNAcentral.